Molecule: long non-coding RNA, 1303 nt
Organism: Salmo salar (Atlantic salmon)
Lineage: Eukaryota; Metazoa; Chordata; Actinopteri; Salmoniformes; Salmonidae
Product: small cell adhesion glycoprotein
Source: RefSeq, a predicted model, not a curated record
AUGUGUUUUUAUACCGUAUGGCGUCAGAAAAAGAAUCGCGAUGGGAACCUGGUUUGUGUUGCAAUUUCACGGGGGCGAGCACACAUGAGUCUCACGAACGCGCAGGGGAUUACAGGAAAGUUUGAGUUGUGCGGAUACACGUCAGUUUUUUUUUGUUCGUUGUUGGUUUACUAAAGAUAGUUUGCUUUAUCGACUGUAUUUUUGUACUUGUUGUUAUUUUUGUAAGGAGAAAAGUGGUGUGCCUGAAGGUGACCAGCAAGCAAAUAUUUCUCAGCAGAUCCAGCUAGCUAAUCUACUUCCUCAGCUUGUGAAACUGACAUCAAUCACCAUGACUUCUAUUCCCAUGACAGCAACAGAGAUGAGACCUACAUCGCUUCCCAGUCAUACAGACUCCUCUGUCAUUGGAAUUGUCAUCGUACUUGUUCUACUGACGCUAGCUGGCCUGGGUUUCCUUCUGUACCGGUACUUGUGCCACAACAAGGGUGCCUACAGAACCACAGGAGAACCCGCCCCGGGUGAGGACUGUGAUCUGGCCCACGGUGACAUUGUAACUGAUGAAAAGAAGGAGUACUUCAUUUGAACUUGAUAACAAGGAGGAAUGUGAGGAGAACUGUGGGUGGGUGUUUAACAAAAUGUUCUCUGCCAAACUGACAGGAAAUAGGAAAAUGACAAUCUUUGAUGGACAUCUACCAUAUGUCUGUGGAAUUGAAGACCUACAUAGAUUUUACCCAAGAGAACACACUAUCACGUAUAGGCACAUAAGCUGGGCAAGCGAUGAGAUUAAUUAGUAAAAAUGUGUGUGCACACUGAUGGUUUCACAAUUUAACAGUUGUGUGCAAGGCACGAGAACUGUUUAACACUAGUGGAUGGAGGACUUCAUGAGAUUCUUGUGGGGGAAAUGUCUAAGAUGGCAUCAAAAAUAUGCUUUCUUUUGUGUCAUAUAAUUGUUAUCAAUCUGCUCCCCAGGUGUCAACUCUGAAGGCUUUUCAUUUUCUGAUUUGUAUUGGUAAAAAAAAUAAUAAUAUUGUCCUGGGGUGGGGGGCUAAAUGGGAAAUUGUAUUUGUUGAUCAGUAGAAGGCACUGAUGAUUUUUUUUGUCUUCUCUUAUGCCAUUAUACGUAAUUUACCAGUUCAAAACUGGGCAGCUAAAUGGGAAAUGUUUUGUAUCUGUUACUAUUACCAAAUACACCAUCUUGUUUGUAUGAUCUUACUGAAGUAUCUGCCAAAGGCAGUAAGUGGCAUGACAGACCUCAAUUUGAGACUGCAGGUCUGACAUGGCAAUAAAGCUUGUUAGUAUUUAAUCA